RNAcentral lists this ribosomal RNA (465 nucleotides) under Vreelandella stevensii. Its description in RNAcentral is "partial 16S ribosomal RNA". It matches the Rfam family "Bacterial small subunit ribosomal RNA", at positions 338 to 795 of the family's 1533-position model. The record is from RNAcentral. Lineage: Bacteria; Pseudomonadati; Pseudomonadota; Gammaproteobacteria; Oceanospirillales; Halomonadaceae.
CCUACGGGUGGCAGCAGUGGGGAAUAUUGGACAAUGGGCGAAAGCCUGAUCCAGCCAUGCCGCGUGUGUGAAGAAGGCCUUCGGGUUGUAAAGCACUUUCAGUGGGGAAGAAAGCCUUGGGGCUAAUACCCUCGAGGAAGGACAUCACCCACAGAAGAAGCACCGGCUAACUCCGUGCCAGCAGCCGCGGUAAUACGGAGGGUGCGAGCGUUAAUCGGAAUUACUGGGCGUAAAGCGCGUGUAGGCGGUCUGAUAAGCCGGUUGUGAAAGCCCCGGGCUCAACCUGGGAACGGCAUCCGGAACUGUCAGGCUAGAGUGCAGGAGAGGAAGGUAGAAUUCCCGGUGUAGCGGUGAAAUGCGUAGAGAUCGGGAGGAAUACCAGUGGCGAAGGCGGCCUUCUGGACUGACACUGACGCUGAGGUGCGAAAGCGUGGGUAGCAAACAGGAUUAGAUACCCGGGUAGUC